This 404-nucleotide ribosomal RNA is filed under the name Heyndrickxia coagulans. RNAcentral describes it as "bacterial SSU rRNA". It matches the Rfam family "Bacterial small subunit ribosomal RNA", at positions 1 to 393 of the family's 1533-position model. Lineage: Bacteria; Bacillati; Bacillota; Bacilli; Caryophanales; Bacillaceae. The record is from RNAcentral.
UUUACUGAGAGUUUGAUCCUGGCUCAGGACGAACGCUGGCGGCGUGCCUAAUACAUGCAAGUCGUGCGGACCUUUUAAAAGCUUGCUUUUAAAAGGUUAGCGGCGGACGGGUGAGUAACACGUGGGCAACCUGCCUGUAAGACUGGGAUAACGCCGGGAAACCGGGGCUAAUACCGGAUCGUUUUUUCCUCCGCAUGGAGGAAAAAGGAAAGGCGGCUUCGGCUGCCACUUACAGAUGGGCCCGCGGCGCAUUAGUUAGUUGGCGGGGUAAUGGCCCACCAAGGCAACGAUGCGUAGCCGACCUGAGAGGGUGAUCGGCCACAUUGGGACUGAGACACGGCCCAAACUCCUACGGGAGGCAGCAGUAGGGAAUCUUCCGCAAUGGACGAAAGUCUGACGGAGCA